This 296-nucleotide unclassified non-coding RNA is filed under the name uncultured Agaricales. RNAcentral describes it as "sequence contains ITS2". The stretch from base 1 to 52 matches the Rfam family "5.8S ribosomal RNA", at positions 103 to 154 of the family's 154-position model. The record is from RNAcentral. Lineage: Eukaryota; Fungi; Basidiomycota; Agaricomycetes; Agaricales.
AACGCACCUUGCGCUCCUUGGUAUUCCGAGGAGCAUGCCUGUUUGAGUGUCAUUUAAUUCUCAAUCACUACAAUCUUGUGUUGUUUAGUGGAUUGGAGGUGGGGGUUUUUGUGGGUUUAUUUAAUAAAUCUGCUCCCCUUAAAAUCAUUAGCUGGAAUGCCUUUGCAAAACCAACUAUCAGUAUGAUAAUUAUCUAUUCUGAUGUUGUUGUUAAAGGGGAUCUGCUUUCAAACUGUCUUUCAGACACUAUGAAUCAAUUUGACCUCAAAUCAGGUAGGACUACCCGCUGAACUUAA